This 1568-nucleotide long non-coding RNA is filed under the name Cricetulus griseus (Chinese hamster). RNAcentral's name for it is "lncRNA (ENSCGRG00015036870.1)". Lineage: Eukaryota; Metazoa; Chordata; Mammalia; Rodentia; Cricetidae. The record is from RNAcentral.
UAUCAUUCCCACUUUACAGAUGUGGAAGCCCUGGCAGUGAGCACAGUAGUUCAUGGGUUGCUCAUUGCUCGUGGCCACCCAGAAGCACAGAUCCAGUUCCCAGCCCAGUGCUCCUCCAGCAGCCCAGGUGGGCAAAUGGCGUCUAUGAGCUCUUGAGGGCUUUGCAGCGGUAGCCACAAAUACCAGACUACGUCUUUUCCCUGUCGACCCAGGGCUUCCUUUGGGGACCUUUGAGAGCCUGAGUAGCUAAAAGUGCCCUGCCAGGCUUCCUCCUCCUGUCUGGCAAUAUGGACUUGGAAAGCAAGACCCUGGCAGCAAGAGGCACGGCUAGUGCCCAGGCUGGGCUGCCCCCAAGAGUGGCCGGGCACGUCAUUUGGGAUCUGAGAGGAGAAGCCAUUCCAUCCUGUACUUUUCCAGGCGCGGAGACAGAAAGGAUUGGGCAGAACUGAUCUGAACUCCUAGCUCAACUUUCCACCAAUGUUCUGCCCAGGGCAAAGCCUACUCUCUAUCCACCCUUGGUUAACUCAAGCAGCUGAAGAAAUGGACUAGAGACUCUAGACAAGACCAUCACCACUCUCUUCUGGGGCCACAUCAUGCUUGACCCUUAGGGUGUGAGUGGAGGGCAGCCGGGUGCACAAGGACCAGAGAAAGGCAGUGAGGACACGGGAGAAGCUGCACCUGUUAUCAGCUCAUCACUCUUGUCACACAGGGCAUGAGUCCCGGAGGCCGAGAGCUCAGGGGUAAAACGCUACUUGACCACUAGAUAACCGAGUCCCUGUAGACAUCUUCUAGGCAUCAUUUUCUUAAUGAAAGCACAGGGGCAUAGAUGUUAGCCAUGCCUGCCCCCGUAAGCUCUCCACAACCAUAACUCUUCAUUCUAUUGUUUUUCUUUUUCUUCCUGGCAGAACUAGGGAUUGAACCUAGGGCCUCAUGCAUACCAGGCAAGAGCUCUACUACUAAGCUACAGCCCCAGGACCCAUAAUUGUUACCUUCUAUUUGGAGAUGUGAGGUAGGAUAAUGCUUGUUUCUCUAUUGUAGUAAUUAAUAGGAUCGUGCUUUUUAUUGUAGUAAUUAAAUAUAUUCAAUGUCUUUGCAUAUCUACUAGCCCAUAGUAAGUAAUCAGUGAGCGCUAUCUGCUUCUAUUGCUACAAAUACUUCAGAAAUACACAAAUUAUUAAAAUGUUGAAAGAGAAAGCAAUAGGUCCCCAUGUUUGUCUCUGGGUAUUAAACUGACAGGUGACUUUUCUCAUUUCUUUGUGUCUAAAGUGAAUGAACACUGCUUUGUGAAGAAAACUAAAUCCUAUAAUGGCUUUAAAGAAUAAUAAAAAUCAUGUGCUGUUCUAAACUGGAAAUAAAACAGUGAAUGCACCUUUUUAAAAAAUAUAAAAUAGAUGUUGCAAGAUUGAUGAAAAUCAGAAACAGAUUGGAGUUCAGGUUUGGGUCUGAGAUGAGUUAUGGCAAGAGCUCCCUACUGUUGGGCCUGUGGCAUGGCCCAGAGAGAGAAAAGGAGUCACCUGACCUGGUGGCAGAUGCCACCUGACAUCUCAGAGGCAGUUAUGACUGUAGAG